Molecule: long non-coding RNA, 232 nt
Filed under: Cebus imitator (Panamanian white-faced capuchin)
Lineage: Eukaryota; Metazoa; Chordata; Mammalia; Primates; Cebidae
Description: lncRNA (ENSCCAG00000038218.1)
Source: RNAcentral
AGCAGGUGGAAGGAGGCGGUGGCGGCGGAGGGGCAGGAUGGCAGGGCCCGUCCUCCUGAGUGUGGGUGCCGCAGUGGGAGCUGGUGGCCGGAAACCCGUGUGCGCCGCCGGGAUCCUGCUCUCCAUCUGCGCCUACUACGUGGAGCGGGAGAAGGAGCGGGACCCCGAGCACCGGACCUUCUGUGACCUGGGACCCUGGGUGAAGUGCUUCGCCGCCCUUGCCUCCAGAUGA